RNAcentral lists this long non-coding RNA (2697 nucleotides) under Sorghum bicolor (sorghum). RNAcentral describes it as "long non-coding RNA (SBIC_LNC003918)". Lineage: Eukaryota; Viridiplantae; Streptophyta; Magnoliopsida; Poales; Poaceae. The record is from RNAcentral.
AACCAAAAAACACAAAGUAGUUGGCCAAGGAUAUAUAAUAAAGAUACACGAACAUGGGCUAACAUGGACCAGGGGCUACUUUCAUCACAUUGCAAGAAAUCCCAUUCGCAGGUGAGCCAUGCAAUCCUUCUGGAUUACACAUAAGGUCCUCCUUUGGUUGCAACUAUUUUAGUACCUGUCAUCAUCUGUGUGGCAUUCUCUGCUUUUGUUUCCAUUUUUUGUUGUAGAAAAAACAGUGGUUAGAUAGUCCAAACAGGAAGCAAGCAUGAAGCAUUACACCAGCAAAAAUAUCCGCUUGUGGUUCCUGCACAAAGCAGAUGACAUCCUGGAGUAGAAAGCUACCCACUUCCUUUCUGUAGAUCGUUUUCACUGACACCAUAAGUUAUCCAAUCUUUUAAGAAAUAAGGAAAAGUCAUCUCCAAGAUAUAUAUUUCAACAAGUCUAUGUUGUAAUAUCAUUUAAAACUGAGGCACUACAAUUUAUCAAAUUUAUCUCUUUUCAAGACCUGCAAGUAGUGAACAAACUUCCACUGAUAUGCAAGACUGGUUGCAAGUUGCAACUACAUCAUCUGAUCGAGUCCAGCGACUAGGAGUAGCUGAUGACAUAUAUUUUGAUACUUGGUCUUACCACUACUAUGUCUAUGUGCGAUACAGUUUCAGUCAAUGUCUCUACACUACCUUACUACCAGAAACGCGUUAAACAGCUAAUAACAAUCUUAACACUACUACCAAUCAAUGCGCUAACAUGUGUAGAUUAAGCAAAGCAUGCAUGACCAGGCAUUAAAAUCCCAGUUCAGACGACCUAGCAAUCUACCUGCAGCUUUUUUUCUCUACUAAAAAAGAAAUCUUUCUGUUAGGGGUUGUAGCUGUACAUACUAGGGAUACUUUAUUAUUACAGAGGAAGCAUGAUAGUUGUCCAUUCUGUUGGACAUGUACGCAGCAACUAGGCAUAUAUGAUAUGAUCGAUAUAUCCUUGUACAGCAGUACAGGAGAGGGCGGCACAGCUCAUCUAAACUUGCACUGGGGACACAUUCAAGUGAUGAAAUGAAGAAGAAGCUCUUUUUAGUUCUUCCAGCCAGUCCUAAACAUGCAUGAUACAACAACUCAUUGACCUGUUAUAUUUAUUUGCAAGCUGUCAUGGCUGAUGGUUGAGUUGAGCACUCCACUGACUGGUAUGUGGUGACUACUGACUACCAAACUGCCAAGAACCAUAGGAAAAUAACCUCAUGCCAUGUCAAAUUCUCCAUCUUAAAUUCAGUGGCUUUGUUAGUUGCACUGUUAAGCACAGCAAUUAGUGCAGUUUCUGCCACAAGAAACGGCAAAAUUUACUUUUCAGAUACUAGUAGAUUGUUUGAGCCCCACAAGUUGGCAGUGUGAGGUCACAAGUUUAUCAUCACUGUGGCGUCCAUGUCAUGCCACUAUCACCUCCAAAAGCUUACAUCCGAAUCAUACAAAAUUUUCAGUUCCUCCAAUCAUCUUUUCCGCAUUAUUUAUGUCGAUGUCUCCAACUUUUGCUCAUACAUGAGCAAAGACCAAGUUUAUCAGCCUUUUUGACCAACCGGCCGGCCGCCGGCGCCGGCGCCGGCGAGCCGGCCGGUAGCCUUCCUGUCGCCAUGCCGGCCGGGGCCAGUUGGAUUUUCUUCAUGCCAACCUCACCUGCAAAAAAUGUAUGCAUCGUGGUGGCCUGGCCUGGAAUGGACUGGACCAAGCUGGUAGAACAGCAGGGGUGGUGUCACCGGCACACCUCAUCUAGUAGAACAGCAGUCAGUUGGUAUUUGGGCAUCAGAGUUUGGUGCCUACUUCUACUAGUAGCCAGCUACUGGCUACUGCAUCAUGUACGUGCAGGGAUUCUCUGUGCCUGUAUCCCAGACAAGAGGAGGCUGUGUGGCCAUUGGGUGAGACAAUUCUGCAUGCAAUGUAACAUUGUAUUGCAUGGCUUUGUUAUCAUCAGGCAAGAACUGUGCCUGUUCUCUAAUCCAUAUAUGCUGCAGAGGAGCCAGUUUUCAGGUAGGUGGAUUAACACAUCAACAACAGGCAUGUUUGUUAUGGUCUUAUGGAGGCAGGCAUGUGCCUUGCAUAAUGUAAUGGCAUGGAAUUCUUCUCUCAUGUGUGGAUUAUGCACCCAAUCAUUGGCCAACCAAUCAACCUCUCUUUAUGUGUUUAUAUGCUAUGUGUUUUGGGCUUUUGGCAAGGGAAUCUCUACAGCCAGUCAUGCAAAGUGAGUAAACAAUGGAAGAAGCCUGAAACCCUAUGCAAUGGAAUUCAAUGCUGCAGCUGCAGAAGGCUGUAUGUAUGUUAGUUUGCCAUGGCACCCAACCGGUGACUGGUGAAGAUAGAGAGAUCUCAUUGUUGCUUGCUUCUUUUUUCACUUUUGCUUUUUAGGCUCAAGUACCCUCCAGUAAAUUUUGCUCUUCUUUUUGUGCACCCUUUCAGGUGUUUGGAUGGAUGCAGCCCUCUUUCUUGGCAUCCUCCUACCUUUGACCUCACCUCCCAGCAUCGGAUGCGCUGUAAAAAGGAGAGGCUAAAAGAAACCAAUCAGUUAUAAUGCCUUUUCUUGUAUGAUCCUGAAAAGCACAAUUCUAUAUUCAGUGAACCUCAUAAUAAGAGCCACUGUCGGUCACACUAGAACAUACUAAACCCUAAAUUACAUUUCAUAGAUGAAUCAAUGGCAAUGAAAAACGCGCUAUUUAGCGUGGUC